UGCACUGUGUUGGGGGGGGGGGUCCGUUUGAUUCCACUGAGAAGAAAGGUUGGGCUGGGAAUUGCAAAUGGUGAUUAUGACGUUGGACAAAUCACGGAGCACCCAAUUAUGUCUUCCAAGGCCUGACCCAAAAUAAGCAAGUAUCUUACCACAAAAUAUAGGUUGUGCUGAACUUCUCAUUACAAAAUGCCAGCUCUGGGGGGGGGGGGGAACGCGUCGAUCAUAUUUCUGUUUUAUGGCUCCGUCAUUCAU
Long non-coding RNA from Perognathus longimembris pacificus (Pacific pocket mouse), 252 nucleotides. RefSeq lists it as uncharacterized. The record is from RefSeq and is a predicted model, not a curated record. Lineage: Eukaryota; Metazoa; Chordata; Mammalia; Rodentia; Heteromyidae. The transcript has 3 exons.